RNAcentral lists this transfer RNA (84 nucleotides) under Colletotrichum graminicola M1.001. Its description in RNAcentral is "tRNA-Glu for anticodon CUC". It matches the Rfam family "tRNA". Rfam says of the family: Transfer RNA (tRNA) molecules are approximately 80 nucleotides in length. Their secondary structure includes four short double-helical elements and three loops (D, anti-codon, and T loops). Further hydrogen bonds mediate the characteristic L-shaped molecular structure. tRNAs have two regions of fundamental functional importance: the anti-codon, which is responsible for specific mRNA codon recognition, and the 3' end, to which the tRNAs corresponding amino acid is attached (by aminoacyl-tRNA synthetases). tRNAs cope with the degeneracy of the genetic code in two manners: having more than one tRNA (with a specific anti-codon) for a particular amino acid; and 'wobble' base-pairing, i.e. permitting non-standard base-pairing at the 3rd anti-codon position. Lineage: Eukaryota; Fungi; Ascomycota; Sordariomycetes; Glomerellales; Glomerellaceae. The record is from Rfam by way of RNAcentral.
UCCGAUAUGGUGUAGUGGCCAACAUGAUGCCCUCUCAUCGCGGGAGGUUAGGCAUAGCCCCGAGUUCGAUUCUCGGUUUCGGAA